UGGGGAAUUUUGGACAAUGGGGGCAACCCUGAUCCAGCAAUGCCGCGUGUGUGAAGAAGGCCUUCGGGUUGUAAAGCACUUUUGUCCGGAAAGAAAUCGCCCUGGCUAAUAUCCGGGGUGGAUGACGGUACUGGAAGAAUAAGCACCGGCUAACUACGUGCCAGCAGCCGCGGUAAUACGUAGGGUGCGAGCGUUAAUCGGAAUUACUGGGCGUAAAGCGUGCGCAGGCGGUUGUGCAAGACAGAUGUGAAAUCCCCCGGGGNUUAAACCCUGGGGAAUGGCAUUUUGUGAACCUGCACGGCUAGAGUGUGUCAGAGGGGGGUUAGAAUUCCACGUGUAGCAGUGAAAUGCGUAGAUAUGUGGAGGAACACCGAUGGCGAAGGCAGCCCCCGUGGGAUAACACUGACGCUCAUGCACGAAAGCGUGGGGAGCAAACNGGAUUAAUNCCCUGGUAGUCCACGCCCUAAANGAUGUCAACUGGUUGUUGGGAAAGGUUCCUUCUCAGUAACGUAGCUAACGCGUGAAGUUGACCGCCUGGGGAGUACGGCCGCAA
RNAcentral lists this ribosomal RNA (553 nucleotides) under uncultured bacterium. RNAcentral describes it as "partial 16S ribosomal RNA". It matches the Rfam family "Bacterial small subunit ribosomal RNA", at positions 355 to 891 of the family's 1533-position model. The record is from RNAcentral.